GGAUAAGGGAACGAUAGAAAAUAUAUUUGUGGAUUUCUGUCUGUGUGCGAUCACUGACCUCGUGUCUUAUGUUCACAGGACUUUUCUCUGCUAAUGUGGUGACUCAUGCGUCCUGAAGUGACUCCACUGAACUUAAUGGGUUUUGAACAUUAUUGGAUGAGACGGCCCUGUGGUCAAAGGAAGUGGAAUUGGUGUGGUGUGUUCUUGGUGAGCUGGAGUGAAGAAGAAGAAAACUUGCGUGGCGGCAUCACCUGAGGACGCCAGAAUAACAGGACUGGACUCAAACCUACAGAUUUUUUUGCAGGUUUGUGUCUGCAUCCAAAGCUGAGGCCACACAGCAGGCCUAGAAGCUGCAUGUGACAGCGGUGCAGACAGCGGUGAUGGAGUCAUCUACGCCACGGACAACCCCGGUGAAGCUGCCUCACAUGGACUUCUUUGGCUGUGUGCGAAAACGGUAACCGGCCACGGAUGUAUGAGCUCGACUUGGACUGUCCAGGAACAGGGGGUCCAAGGCAAGCCUCGUCCUGGUCCAACAUAAAAUCUCCAUCCACUCGGUCAGCGUCUGAGAACCAGGGGCGCUCGAGUCGGAGCGGCUUGAGCCCCCUCCCUGCCCACAGUGCACAACCAGAACUGCGUUCCUCUUCACUGACAACUCUUCUUCAUAUUUAUUUGGAAUACAAUUUUAUUUUCCUACUUUAAAAUAAAUAUGUCAGAAGUUAAACAAGUUGAAGGUGUAGUCAAAAUCUUCCUGACUUCAGUAGAAACAAUUAAGGGAUAGAAAUUGAAGCAGAGCUAGAGAUUACCUUGUUGUGAUGCUUAACUCGCAUUGUUCUGAAAAGAAAAAUAAAGCUCAAAUAAUUGUUUUCACUUUGGAACAUGCUG
Molecule: non-coding RNA, 882 nt
Organism: Paralichthys olivaceus (Japanese flounder)
Lineage: Eukaryota; Metazoa; Chordata; Actinopteri; Pleuronectiformes; Paralichthyidae
Source: RefSeq, a predicted model, not a curated record